CCCCUAGACGUUCUGGGCUGCACGCGCGCUACAAUAAUACGCACAGCGAGUAUCACCGAGCUCGAAAGGGCAAGGUAAACAAUAGAAAAGGUACUGUAAUGGUUAUAGAUCCUUGUAAUUAUUGAUCUUCAACGAGGAAUUCCUAGUAAGUAUGUGUCAUCAUCACGCACUGAUUACGUCCCUGCCCUUUGUACACACCGCCCGUCGCUCCUACCGAUUGGGUGAGCCGAUGAAACUCUCGGAUGUAGGCUAUCCAUAGCCCGCAGAAGAGAUUUGAAUCGUAGCGCUUAGAGGAAGGAGAAGUCGUAACA
Molecule: ribosomal RNA, 311 nt
Filed under: uncultured eukaryote
Lineage: Eukaryota
Description: partial 18S ribosomal RNA
Rfam family: Eukaryotic small subunit ribosomal RNA
Source: RNAcentral